AGGUAUUUUCGACCUGAACACAUAGGGUUGAAAAGGCAAACCCGGGGAACUGAAACAUCUAAGUACCCGGAGGAAAGGACAGCAAUAGCGACUCCCCCAGUAGCGGCGAGCGAACGGGGACCAGCCGAGCCUUGAGCGUGACUAGAAUGUGCUGGAAAGCACAGCCAUAGCGGGUGACAGCCCCGUAUAGGAAGCGUGAUGGGACGUAUUAAGUAGGGCGGGACACGUGAAAUCCUGUCUGAAGAUCGGAGGACCACCUUCGAAGGCUAAGUACUCCUUACUGACCGAUAGCGAACCAGUACCGUGAGGGAAAGGUGAAAAGCACCCCGACGAGGGGAGUGAAACAGUACCUGAAACCGGACGCCUACAAGCAGUCGGAGCCUCCUCGAGAGGUGACGGCGUACCUUUUGUAUAAUGGGUCAUCGACUUGGUCUCACGAGCAAGCUUAAGCCGAUAGGUGUAGGCGCAGCGAAAGCGAG
Molecule: ribosomal RNA, 479 nt
Filed under: uncultured Nitzschia
Lineage: Eukaryota; Bacillariophyta; Bacillariophyceae; Bacillariales; Bacillariaceae
Description: partial Bacterial large subunit ribosomal RNA
Rfam family: Bacterial large subunit ribosomal RNA
Source: RNAcentral